This is a long non-coding RNA of Mauremys reevesii (Reeves's turtle), 770 nucleotides long. RefSeq lists it as uncharacterized. The record is from RefSeq and is a predicted model, not a curated record. NCBI's taxonomy places the organism in Eukaryota, Metazoa, Chordata, Testudines, Geoemydidae. The transcript is spliced from 6 exons.
GUAUCAUCUUAUAUAUUUUGUCAGCCAAAUUAUCACAACACAACUCAAACAGCAGAGAUUGAGGGAGACCCCUCUUCAAAUCCUCUCUCCCAUCAGGCAGCAGAGGGAACUGAACCAAGAUCUCACACGUCCCAGCCUCAUUUUAAACUGACUCAGGGCCUUCUUCCUGAUCUGGUAAACAGACAUAGGCCCAGGUCCGAAGAAGACCCCAACCCUUUGGGAAGGGUUGGAACAAGUAAGCCUGCUGAGGCCCCAACAGACUGUGCUUGCUCUAUGCUGAACCUCUGAUGAACUUGCCCCUGUUGGAGUUAAGAUGGCAUCUGUGUCUGAAGAGAAAAGCAAACAUGCUUGGGCAGUUGCUCUUUGCCAGGAAUAACACAGUGAAGGCAAGGAAAUACCAUUAUGAGAAGGGAAUGAAACAUGCAUCUCCACCCAAGAAAGGCAAUGGAGAGUGAGCCAAAACCUGAGAUUGCUCUGCCUUUCCCUUCCCAUUGGAUAUCUAGUGCCAGCUGCUCGAGUCCACCAUCAUCACAGCUUAGAGCCUCUGCAAUGAGACCUUAGAUCACCACUGCGUGUAAUGCAACAGUUAAUCCAAGAUGGCUGACAGCAGAAAAGAUUCAGGCACAAGUGCUGCCGGUGACACCAGUUGUUGAACCACUUCACAAUUUCUGAAGUCCUAUGAGAAGUGCCUGCUGAGCAUGUUGACUGAGAAUCUGGACUCGAGGAAGGUUAGUGGCUGAGAUCUGAAUCCAAUGGGCCACAGUUCCACA